AGAUUACGAGGUUGAUAGGCCAGAGGUGUAAGUAUAGUAAUAUACUCAGCUGACUGGUACUAAUUAGUCGAAAAGCUUGACUUU
RNAcentral lists this ribosomal RNA (84 nucleotides) under Candidatus Brocadiaceae bacterium. RNAcentral describes it as "partial 23S ribosomal RNA". It matches the Rfam family "Bacterial large subunit ribosomal RNA", at positions 2842 to 2925 of the family's 2925-position model. The record is from RNAcentral. Lineage: Bacteria; Pseudomonadati; Planctomycetota; Candidatus Brocadiia; Candidatus Brocadiales; Candidatus Brocadiaceae.